RNAcentral lists this ribosomal RNA (578 nucleotides) under uncultured bacterium. Its description in RNAcentral is "bacterial SSU rRNA". It matches the Rfam family "Bacterial small subunit ribosomal RNA", at positions 60 to 625 of the family's 1533-position model. The record is from RNAcentral.
AGUCGAGGGGCAGCGGGGAGGUAGCAAUACCUUUGCCGGCGACCGGCGCACGGGUGAGUAACACGUAUGCAAUCCACCUGUAACAGGGGGAUAACCCGGAGAAAUCCGGACUAAUACCCCAUAAUAUGGGCUCUCCGCAUGGAGGGUUCAUUAAAGAGAGCAAUUUUGGUUACAGACGAGCAUGCGCUCCAUUAGCCAGUUGGCGGGGUAACGGCCCACCAAAGCGACGAUGGAUAGGGGUUCUGAGAGGAAGGUCCCCCACAUUGGAACUGAGACACGGUCCAAACUCCUACGGGAGGCAGCAGUGAGGAAUAUUGGUCAAUGGUCGGCAGACUGAACCAGCCAAGUCGCGUGAGGGAAGACGGCCCUACGGGUUGUAAACCUCUUUUGUCGGAGAGUAAAGUACGCUACGUGUAGCGUAUUGCAAGUAUCCGAAGAAAAAGCAUCGGCUAACUCCGUGCCAGCAGCCGCGGUAAUACGGAGGAUGCGAGCGUUAUCCGGAUUUAUUGGGUUUAAAGGGUGCGUAGGCGGCACGCCAAGUCAGCGGUGAAAUUUUCGGGCUCAACCCGGACUGUGCC